RNAcentral lists this ribosomal RNA (1268 nucleotides) under uncultured organism. Its description in RNAcentral is "bacterial SSU rRNA". It matches the Rfam family "Bacterial small subunit ribosomal RNA", at positions 42 to 1347 of the family's 1533-position model. The record is from RNAcentral.
GCGCGCUUAAUGCAUGCAAGUCGAGCGAUGAGACUCCUACGGGAGCACAUCAGCGGCAGACGGGUGAGUAACACGUAGAUGACGUACCCUCAAGACGGGGAUAACGGAUGGAAACGUGCGCUAAUACCGGAUGACCUUACGAUGUCAGAAUGGUAAGGAAAGCUACGGCGCUUGAGGAGCGGUCUGCGGCCCAUCAGCUAGUUGGUAGGGUAAAGGCCUACCAAUGCGAAGACGGGUAGGGGGUGUGAGAGCACGGNCCCCCACAAUGGGACUGAGACACGGCCCAUACUCCUACGGGAGGCAGCAGGAGGGAAUAUUGCACAAUGGACGGAAGUCUGAUGCAGCGACGCCGCGUGAGUGAAGAAGGCCUUCGGGUUGUAAAACUCUUUUGAGGGGGAAGAGCGAGGACGGUACCCCUGGAAUAAGCGUCGGCUAACUACGUGCCAGCAGCCGCGGUAAGACGUAGGACGCGAGCGUUAUCCGGAUUUACUGGGCGUAAAGCGUCUGUAGGCGGAUGUGUAAGUUGGGCGUGAAAGCUCCGGGCUUAACCCGGAGAGGCCGUUCAAUACUGCAUAACUUGAGGGUGUCAGAGGGGAGCGGAAUUCCCGGUGUAGCGGUAAAAUGCGCAGAGAUCGGGAGGAACACCAGUGGCGGAGGCGGUUCCCUGGGGCACACCUGACGCUGAGAGACGAAAGCUAGGGGAGCGAACAGGAUUAGAGAGCCUGGGUAGUCCUAGCCCCUAGACGAUGAAUGCUAGGUGUGGGAUCGAAUGGUUCCGUGCCGGAGCGAACGCGAUAAGCAUUCCGCCUGGGGAGUACGGCCGCAAGGUUAAAACUCUCACGAAUUGACGGGGCCCCGCACAAGCAGCGGAGCGUGUGGUUUAAUUCGAUGCUACACGAAGAACCUUACCUGGGUUUGACAUGUAGCUGGUAGUGAAUCGAAAGGUGAACGACCCUUCGGGGAGCCUACACAGGUGCUGCAUGGCUGUCGUCAGCUCGUGCCGUGAGGUGUCGGGUUAAGUCCCGUAACGAGCGCAACCCUUGCUCCUAGUUACAAGUGUCUAGGGGGACUGCCGGCGGAAAGCCGGCGGAAGGUGGGGAUGACGUCAAGUCCUCAUGGCCCUUAUGCCCAGGGCUACACACGUGCUACAAUGGGCGGUACAGAGGGUCGCGAACUCGCGAGAGCAAGCCAAUCCCAACAAGCCGUCCGUAGUUCGGAUUGGAGUCUGCAACUCGACUCCAUGAAGCUGGAAUCGCUAGUAAUCGCGG